CAGAACUGUGCCGCUGCAUAUGGUCAUGUUGUUUAACUUGCACUCCCAGUGGAAAACAGUGUGAUGUUCUCAUUUACUGACUUUGUCGCUCAACACUGCAUUCCAGUAAUAUAACUAUACUUACAGUCUUCAUUCUUUAUAUUUUGUAAAAACUUAAAGUGUACAUAAUUUCUAAACAUUGAGACAUUGUAAGUUAAGCAGAAAAGCAUGUCAAAAAGUCACUUUAAAUGUCAUAAGAAUUUUUUUGUCCCAUGUUUUUAUUAGGUUGUAGUUUUCUUUCAAACAAGUUAAGGAGCAAGGUUUUCUUUAUGUUAAACGCUUUUCUGCUUGAUUAAUUCAUUUUGGAGGGGUUGUUAGGGUUAGUGUAUAAACUUUAAAUGAUUGAAACUUGGCACAAAGUAGAACCUUUGCCACUGGUAUUUUGUUUCGGGGCAGCAGUAACUGGUAUCUUCCAUCCAGAUGACCAGUUUGCUGUCCUUUCAUUUCUGUCUUUUUGUUUAUGUUUUUGGACACUCAUCACUUACCAGUCCUAACAUGUGUCAUAAAACAGACUGAUGUAUGGAAACUUCCUACAUUCAACAAAAUGCAAUGUUUGUAUUAAGAUUUUAGGAAUCCUGUUAUUUGCCCUACAGAGUAAAAUCUCAGAAUUUUCUUUAUGCUGUUUCCUUAUAUGUUACAUGUUAAAGGCACAUUCAUGCUUUUACCAUGCAAAAAAAAAGAUUUUUAAACAGAUAUUUAUUUAGAUUUUGCUGUUGGUCAAUUUAAAAUAAAACCUGGCAGGCAUCUUUUGGCAUCAGGAGAUGAAAUUAAAAUCUUACUAACAGAUGCAUGUCCAGAUAUGGACUGAAAUAGUUCAUCCAUCCAAAUGAAAAAUAAUACCAUUGGCAGAUUUUUUUAUUGGCUUAGCUCACUGCACAUAAAUUGGAAUCAAAUUAUGGAAUGAUGUUAUGACUCCUAAAGUUAUUAACAGCCUGUUCUUAUAUGGAUUAAUCAUAAAUAUAGCACAGCAAGGGCUGCUGUUGCGCAAUUAGGUCACGAAUCCAGUCAAUAGUGUAGACUUUAAUCGCACCCAUUAUGACUUCGGACGGGGUCUCACUGCAAGAAAUUAUGAAGUUUCUUACCUUCCCAAUGUCACGGCUCUUGGCUCUCAGCUUGUUAACCUGGGACUCGGCAAUGUCAGCGCGCUCCUGAGCCUCCUCCAUCUCAUGCUGCACCUUCCUGUACCUGGACAGGGAACAAGAGCUGAUGUGAAUUUAAGAUUUCUAAAAGAGAAAAAGCAGGCCCACUGUGAAUCCUCAGGAGUCAUGAGCUGCAUUUAUAUAGUGUCAUAACUAAGUGCUCAGCAGAACUGUGCAUCUGCAUAUGGUCAUGUUGUUUAACUUGCACUCCCAAUGGAAAACAGCAUGAUGUUCUC
Paramisgurnus dabryanus is the source of this 1414-nucleotide non-coding RNA. The record is from RefSeq and is a predicted model, not a curated record. NCBI's taxonomy places the organism in Eukaryota, Metazoa, Chordata, Actinopteri, Cypriniformes, Cobitidae.